AGCAAUGAUUGAGAUUAAGUUGUCGCACCACCAAUUCCACUACAUUGAUGAGGAUACAUCGACCUACAUUUGUAAGGAUGAUAUUAAAGAAUUCUUACUUGGGGAAGAGUUGAAUGUUUCCAUGAUACAAACAUUCAUGAGGCUAUUAUACAAUGAUGUGAGGCGAUCUAGUCAGCCAAUCUUUGGUUGGUUAUGUCCAAGCUUUGUACGAGAUGACAGUUGCGUACAAAACGAAAAAGAGGUGAAAGUAUAUCUCAAGGAUUCUUUGAACGCAUGUUCUCGUCUUGGAUAUAAGAUCGUUCUUCUUCCUUACAUUGAAUCGAACCAUUGGACACUCAUUGCAAUAUGUGUGUCAAGUAACGAAGUCUACCACUUUGAUUCUUUGCGUAAAAAACAAUACGGUCCUUACUAGUCAAAUCAUUGUUAAAUAGUGUGAUGAAGAAGAUUACUUCAUCUGGACUUCGACAAGGAAAAGCUCCUGUUUGGUAUUUAGUCGAGUGUCCGGUACAAGAAGGUGGACUUGCGUGUGGGUAUUACGUCAUGAGGUUCAUGCUCGAUAUCGUCAACUAUUGCAAAGAUGUUGUUGAUCUUCGAAAGGUUUAUGCUAGUUCCAAACCACGUUUGAGGAACUUCACCAAAGAAGAAAUUGACGAAGUUCGGGAUAAGUUGGCGUCCUACAUUACCGAUGAUUGCAUAGGAUGAGAUUUUCGCUCCAACAAUAAUGUACUAGCUAGUUUCUAUCACCUAUGUACACUUUUUACAUUAUUUUAAUAUAUUUGAAGUUAAUUAUUA
Beta vulgaris subsp. vulgaris (sugar beet) is the source of this 792-nucleotide long non-coding RNA. RefSeq lists it as uncharacterized. NCBI's taxonomy places the organism in Eukaryota, Viridiplantae, Streptophyta, Magnoliopsida, Caryophyllales, Amaranthaceae. The record is from RefSeq and is a predicted model, not a curated record. The transcript has 6 exons.